Molecule: long non-coding RNA, 241 nt
Filed under: Phoenix dactylifera (date palm)
Lineage: Eukaryota; Viridiplantae; Streptophyta; Magnoliopsida; Arecales; Arecaceae
Description: long non-coding RNA (PDAC_LNC011014)
Source: RNAcentral
UUUUGGAAAAUCUAAAGCCUUAGCUUGUGUAUGGUCCAUAUAUCACCGAGCACCCAAGUAUAAAUUAGCCUUACAACUCUCUAAUAGAAACUUAAUAACUUCAACUUAAAUUGCAUACUGACCUAGGAUUUGGGCUGACUUAGUAAUUAAAACUUUGUGUGCUUUUGAAAUUCUUGGCACUUAUGCAUUUGAAAUUAGAUUUUAUAAAUUAAUAAAAUAAAUUCUUUCGACUACAGUUUGU